RNAcentral lists this transfer RNA (66 nucleotides) under Buccinum tsubai. Its description in RNAcentral is "tRNA-Cys". The record is from RNAcentral. Lineage: Eukaryota; Metazoa; Mollusca; Gastropoda; Neogastropoda; Buccinidae.
CCCGCCAUAGUUUAUGUAAAAAACAUCGACCUGCAAAAUCGAGAAAGGAGAACUAUCCUGGUGUGU